GUCGAGAAUUUUUCACAAUGGGCGAAAGCCUGAUGGAGCGACGCCGCGUGGGGGAUGAAUGGCUUCGGCCCGUAAACCCCUGUCAUUCGCGAGCAAUGCCUUCCCGAUAAUACCGGGACGGUUGAUCGUAGCGAAAGAGGAAGGGACGGCUAACUCUGUGCCAGCAGCCGCGGUAAUACAGAGGUCCCAAGCGUUGUUCGGAUUCACUGGGCGUAAAGGGUGCGUAGGUGGUGAGGUAAGUUCGAUGUGAAAUCUCCGGGCUCAACCCGGAAAAGGCAUUGAAUACUAUCUUGCUCGAGGUUUGGAGGGGGGACUGGAAUUCUCGGUGUAGCAGUGAAAUGCGUAGAUAUCGAGAGGAACACCGGUGGCGAAGGCGAGUCCCUGGACAACACCUGACACUGAGGCACGAAAGCUAGGGGAGCAAACAGGAUUAGAAACCCCAGUAGUCC
Molecule: ribosomal RNA, 449 nt
Filed under: uncultured bacterium
Lineage: Bacteria
Description: bacterial SSU rRNA
Rfam family: Bacterial small subunit ribosomal RNA
Source: RNAcentral